AUCCGAGGAACUCUGGCUAAGAACGCUGCUUCCUGCAGCAACGCCUGAGUAACCAACAUCCUGUUGG
RNAcentral lists this small RNA (67 nucleotides) under Psychrobacillus sp. OK032. RNAcentral describes it as "Bacillaceae-1 RNA". It matches the Rfam family "Bacillaceae-1 RNA". Lineage: Bacteria; Bacillati; Bacillota; Bacilli; Caryophanales; Bacillaceae. The record is from RNAcentral.